Molecule: ribosomal RNA, 2247 nt
Filed under: Triticum aestivum (bread wheat)
Lineage: Eukaryota; Viridiplantae; Streptophyta; Magnoliopsida; Poales; Poaceae
Description: partial small subunit ribosomal RNA
Source: RNAcentral
AUGAGCGGCGCCGACAAGGUUGUGUUGUUUGGGUCCUUCACGGAGGAUGAGACUAAGUUGUUCCAGGGGCAGCCUGCUAAAAGUGAGGAGAAAUCAUGGGAACUGCCUGAGAUCCAGUUUGGUUCACUGAAUUUUUCUGUGCUAAGUUUAGAGAAAGCAUCGAAUGCUAUCACUGAAGGCUCUGCUCAUUCUCCAAAGCCAACUUAUGGCCAUACAAAGGAUCACGCUGGCAGUAAUAAGAAGGAAACUGUAACAUCUACCUUACCAAAUGGUGGACCAGUGCUGUUCAAUGGAUUUCCUGCCGAAGUUUCUCCUAAUAAUGGUAUUCUCAAGAAUGUGAAGUCUGAAGCUUCGGUCCCUUCAGCUGGGCCUGUCAGCAAUUUAAAGGAGAACAAAGCAACGGUUGCUUUAGCUGGCCCUGUAAACAAUGUAAAGAAGACUGAAGCUCAAGUUCCUUCAGCUCGUCCUGUCAACGAUGUAAAGAAGAAUGAAGCUCUGGCUCUUUCACCUGGGCCGAUCAACAAUGUAAAGAAGGACGCUACAGUUCCUUCAGCUGGGCCUGUCAACAAUGUAAAGAAGGACGCUGCAGUUCCUUCAGCUGGGCCUGUCAACAAUGUAAAGAAGGCUAAAGCCACGGCUCCUUCAGCUGGGCCUGCCAACAAUGUGAAGAAGGCUGAAGCCACGCCCCCUUCAGCUCUGUCUGCCAACAAUGUGAAGAAGGCUGAACCUACAGUUCCUUCAGCUAGGCCUGUCAACAAUGUGAAGAAGGCUGAAGCUACGAUUCCUUCACCUGUGCCUGUCAACAAUGUGAAGAAGGCUGAAGCUACGGUUCCUUCACCCAGGCCUGUCAACAAUGUGAAGAAGGCUGAAGCUACGGUCCCUUCACCCAGGCCUGUCAACAAUGAGAAGAAGGCUGAAGCUACAGUUCCUUCACCUGGCCCUGCUAACACUGUAAAGAAGACUGAAUCUGUGGUUCCUUCAGUUGCGCCUAUCAAGAGCAUUAGCAGUUCAACACCAAUUGAAGGGCCAGGGCCGCACCAUGAUGGUCUCAGAUGUACAGAAAGCAGCAGUUCAGCUAUGUUAGUAACUGAGAAUGGAAGCACAGGUGCUGAUGCACCUAUUAUUGCAGCUCCAGCAGAUGAUUCCGUCACAAGUUUAAAUAAGGAAGACUAUCAGAAUAAGCCGUUGCUUCCUCAUGGUUUGAAGAAUACAGGAAAUAUAUGCUUCCUGAAUGCAACUUUGCAGGCUUUCCUUUCAUGCUUCCCUUUUGUUCAGCUUGUACAAGGCCUGAGGAACCGGAGUAUACCUAAGGCUGGCUACCCUACUCUGAGUGCAUUCAUUGAGCUCGUCUCUCAGUUUGAUGUACUUGACGAGUCUACUAUGAAAGACGAGAGGUUUGCUUUAGUCGCUGCAAAAAUAAUCAAUCCUACCAUGUUCGAUCAAGUUCUGAGAAAUUUUACUCCAGAUGUACCGGCUGGAACAUCUGCUCGGCCAAGACAAGAAGAUGCCCAAGAGUUCCUAAGUUUUGCCAUGGAUAGAAUGCAUGAUGAACUGUUGAGGCUUAAUGGCAAUGGUUCAAAUUCAAAGGAAGGUAUGGUUGUUUCUUCUGAUGAUGACGAUGCCUGGGAGACUGUAGGUAGGAAGAACAAAUCUGCAAUCAUGAGGACACAGAGUUUUGUUCCCUCCGAUCUAAGUGCUAUUUUUGGAGGCAAGCUACAAAGUGUAGUGAAAGCUGCAGGUAACAAAGCAUCAGCAACCGUUCAGCCUUUCCUGCUGCUCCAUCUUGAUAUAUUUCCAGAUGCUGUUCAAACGCUUGACGAUGCACUUCAUCUGUUUUCCACCCCUGAAUCUUUGGAAGGAUACAGAACAACUGCUGGAAAGGCCGGAGUGGUGACAGCUAGGAAAUCAUUCAAGAUACAUGAACUUUCAAAGAUAAUGAUACUGCACUUGAAGAGGUUCAGUUAUGGAAAUCGUGGGUGUACUAAACUGUACAAGCCACUCCACUUCCCUCUUGAACUGGUCCUCAAUCGGGAUCUGCUGAGCUCACCAUCAUCAGAGGGUAGAAGAUACGAGCUCGUUGCAACCAUCACUCAUCACGGGAGUGGCCCGUCCAGGGGCCAUUACACCGCUGAUGCAAAGCAUGACGGUGGGCAGUGGCUUCGGUUCGAUGACGGCCAUGUCAUGCCCAUCAACGUGAACAAGGUCUUGCAUAACCCAGCGUAUAUCCUGUUCUACAAGCAAGUUUAA